GCGAGGCCGAAAGGCGUAGUCGAUGGGAAACGGGUUAAUAUUCCCGUACUUGGUGUUACUGCGAAGGGGGGACGGAGAAGGCUAUGUUGGCCGGGCGACGGUUGUCCCGGUUUAAGCGUGUAGGUGUGUGUUCCAGGUAAAUCCGGUUCACUUUAACACUGAGGCGUGACGACGAGGCACUACGGUGCUGAAGCAACAAAUGCCCUGCUUCCAGGAAAAGCCUCUAAGCAUCAGGUAACAUCAAAUCGUACCCCAAACCGACACAGGUGGUCAGGUAGAGAAUACCAAGGCGCUUGAGAGAACUCGGGUGAAGGAACUAGGCAAAAUGGUGCCGUAACUUCGGGAGAAGGCACGCUGACAC
This 361-nucleotide ribosomal RNA is filed under the name Salmonella enterica subsp. enterica serovar Virchow. RNAcentral describes it as "partial 23S ribosomal RNA". It matches the Rfam family "Bacterial large subunit ribosomal RNA", at positions 1396 to 1757 of the family's 2925-position model. The record is from RNAcentral. RNAcentral also lists the same sequence under 1 other name. Lineage: Bacteria; Pseudomonadati; Pseudomonadota; Gammaproteobacteria; Enterobacterales; Enterobacteriaceae.